UGUCCGAAAUGUGGGGGGAGGGUGAGAUCCCUCGUGGUUCGAGCCGAGCGAAGCGAGACCACAUCGGAGCUUGCGACGAUAGCCCGAAGGGCGAGGAGUGUAACGACGAGUAAUCCUCCCUCACCGCCA
Molecule: small RNA, 129 nt
Filed under: Amphritea sp. 1_MG-2023
Lineage: Bacteria; Pseudomonadati; Pseudomonadota; Gammaproteobacteria; Oceanospirillales; Oceanospirillaceae
Description: RtT sRNA
Rfam family: RtT RNA
About the family: This family represents a bacterial cis-regulatory element known as RtT RNA. The exact function of RtT is unknown although it is thought that it may be involved in changing the cellular response in relation to amino acid starvation.
Source: RNAcentral